UUGGUGCUAUUGAUAGUAUAGUAGCCGGACUCUAUAUAUAUGUGUUUGAGUGUUGAAAAAUAUUUUCUCUUUAAUUUCACUUUUGUUUUAGUCCCAAAAUUUUUGGACUGUUUUCCAUGUUUUCAUUGAGAGUCUAAAAGGAAAUUGAGAGAAUAUCUUGAAAGCUCAAAAAGAAUGAAAUGAUUGAAAACUAAUCUGGCCUCAUGUUGGAUCAUAAUUUGUUUACUUUGCAUCAUUUGCGAGUCUUUGAUUCUUAAAUGAGUUAAAGAUUGUUAACAUAAGAAUACAUAGAGAAACAGUAGAAUGCAUUAAAUUAGAUAGAGGAUAGGAUGAUCUUGAUUUAAAUUUUAAUCAUACAAUAUAACGGAACUUUAGUUUAUACUAUUGGAAGAUCCACCUCAAUGGUGUUUUGCUAGAUUUUAGUAACUAGGAAGCAUAGUUCCGAAUUGAUGCAAGUACUUCAGUUGUUUGUCUGAGUGAAGGGCAGGUGAUGAAGUGAAACUUCAAAGUAAUAUAAAACAGAUGGCUUCUAAGGAUUGGAAUUCCUCGUAGUUAUGAAGUCAAGUUCUCAAACCUUCACUUUCGACUUCUAUAAACUGACCUUCAACUGAACAACCCCUUCAUAUGUAAAAUUUGGAGCUCCUUUCUUUUUUCCCUUUGAUGGGGGAUAUUGCUUAUGUAGUUGGAAUCUUCUUUUUUUCUUGUAAUUUUUCAAUUGAUCAUCACCUUCCUUUCCAAAGAGGAUCUGCAUCAACUGAAACAAAGCCCUCGUCAUCAGCAAAGACUCUUAACUACUAAGGUCAGAGCUGAACAGCACCCAAGAAAACUAGGCAAUGCUGGGAGAUUUCGACAUCUGAAAAUUUUUUCUGCAGCAAUAAACAGAAGCCGGAAUCUCGAUGCAAGUUAAACAACAUGAUAAAAGCCUUUGAUGUGAUCAACAGAGUGGAGAUCCUAAAGUUAUAAGCCCUCACAUGGUUUAUAAAUAUAAUGAAGCAGCUUUUGCUUGAAGUGUGAAAACUGUGAAUGGCUUUUUUUUUGGUGUGUGAGAGAGAUUGUUGUCAUUUGAUGAUAGUAUCACAUGUGUUCUACAUUUAUAUGCUGCUUUUCUAGCUUCAAGAAAAGUAAUUCAUCAGUAAAUCUGGAAACUGAAGGGGGUUAAUUGCA
Long non-coding RNA from Ananas comosus (pineapple), 1164 nucleotides. RefSeq lists it as uncharacterized. The record is from RefSeq and is a predicted model, not a curated record. The transcript is spliced from 2 exons. Lineage: Eukaryota; Viridiplantae; Streptophyta; Magnoliopsida; Poales; Bromeliaceae.